GUGUCAGCCGCCGCGGUAAUACAGAGGGUGCGAGCGUUAAUCGGAUUUACUGGGCGUAAAGCGUGCGUAGGCGGCUUAUUAAGUCGGAUGUGAAAUCCCCGAGCUUAACUUGGGAAUUGCAUUCGAUACUGGUGAGCUAGAGUAUGGGAGAGGAUGGUAGAAUUCCAGGUGUAGCGGUGAAAUGCGUAGAGAUCUGGAGGAAUACCGAUGGCGAAGGCAGCCAUCUGGCCUAAUACUGACGCUGGGGUACGAAAGCAUGGGGAGCAAACAGGAUUAGAUACCCCUGUAGUCC
RNAcentral lists this ribosomal RNA (292 nucleotides) under uncultured prokaryote. RNAcentral describes it as "partial 16S ribosomal RNA". It matches the Rfam family "Bacterial small subunit ribosomal RNA", at positions 505 to 796 of the family's 1533-position model. The record is from RNAcentral.